RNAcentral lists this non-coding RNA (29 nucleotides) under Rattus norvegicus (Norway rat). Lineage: Eukaryota; Metazoa; Chordata; Mammalia; Rodentia; Muridae. The record is from RNAcentral.
UGCUUUAUGAGAUGUCUUCGUCACCUCAA